AGGAAGCUUUUCUGAGCAAUUCUCCCUUAUCAUUAUUUAGAACUCAUUCACAAUUUUAUUCUCUUAACCUUUUUAUUACAAUUCUCUUAAAAUUUUAAAUUACCACAAAACACAUAUACUAAUUUUUUUUUGGGCCUUAAAUGACAAAUAAAAUCAAUUCUUGAGCACCAAAAGAAGGUAGGGAGGGGGAAUCCGCAAGCUAGCGCAGACGCUUUUACAUGUUCGGUGGCUUCCACUGCAAUCUGAGAGGCGCGUGCUUCAACGCCGACGAUAGGUUUUGAUUUCUCGUUGAUUCGGACGAUCGGUUAUUAGACGGGCAAACCCGUGAUUGUUCUUUUACUUGUUGUCUCUAUGAGACAGAAGAGAGGCUCUUCGUCUUCAACCUCUCCAUGUGCCCCACUUCGAGAUGCAUACCACAGUUGUUUCAACAGGUGGUACGCCGAGAAAUUCAUGAAGGGUCAGUGGGAUAAAGAAGAAUGUCUUUCCGAGUGGGAAAAGUACAGAGCUUGCCUUUCUCAAAAUUUGGAAGAUAAACAUCUGAGUCGCUUCUUAGAAGCUGAGGGCGUUGUCAGUUCUAAAGUUUAUGACGAUUUAGGGAAAGAUGCUGCUUCUGGUGCAUCACAAUAACAUAUCUUUUGACUUAAAUAGAAAUUAUCCGGACGAAGGUAACUUGCAGGAUCAUUAUACUCGUUACCCCCCCUCCAAUUUUGUCGACGUUUAAUGAUGCCCAUCCGGAAGCCAUGCAUUUAUUAGAAAGUGCAAACAAGGAAGGAUCGUCACUCUGUUAAAUCUUUAUUUAUUUAUGCUUCAAUCUUACUUAAUGAAGAGUCUAUAAGAUAUUAGGGCUCGGCUUUUGAAGUAUCAUGGCUUGUUGAGCAGCACUGACAUCCUUGUAUAAAAAAUUCAGAAAUUUUGCCCGAGUUUAUUGGUUGCUGCUGAAACCGUGUUUUUGACACUAAAUUGUGUCAAAUUAUAGCCAUUCAAGCUGAACUCUUCAUAUAUAAAUUGGAGAAAUCCUUGCAGUAAUAAAAAUAGGUUUACGAAUAGAGCCUAUUAAAAGAAGAAGAAGAAAGAAGGAAAAGCAUCAACUCUUCAGAAGGAAUGUUGAGAAGCUGCUGACUUAGUUUCUCUUGUUUGUAUCCUCUGUUUUGAGGAAUGAAUCAUCUCUUUAACCCAAAAAAAAAAAAAAAAAUAGAAGGAAGUGAAGUGUCAAGUUUAGCUGCGGUAUGAUUUUAGGUUCUGUAAAACCAGGCUUCUUGUCGUUGUUUCGUUCCUGCCAGGUAUGUGACAGAGUUGGAUGUCAAUGUUACGGUGUUAAGCUCUAGGCAGGUAUGACUAUGCUGCAGCCUGCAGAUGGCACCUACAUUUCUCCUACAUUGAUUUACUGGCCGUAGUCAAGCCCCACCCCAACCCAAAACAAAAGAAAGAGGGAAAGAAAAUGGUUGGCAUUCUUAAUUGUUUGCAACAUGACCUCAAGUUCAGCCCCAUGAACAUUCUGUGUCUUGAAUACCAGAAAAGUAAGCCGAUGAUUGGAGGUGGGACGACAAGUUUUAAUGAUGUAUUUUAGAGUCCUGCUACCUUUGUAUUAGGUAUUUGUUUUGAAUGCUGUAGUUCCAGGAGAUUUGGUCUUUGAUGAAUUUAAUCCAUGGUCUACUGAAGAGGAAAAGGAAAUGAUGGUGGAUUCACGAGGAAGUUGUAUGAAAGUUUCGAUUGUGGUUAGGCGAAAAAAGAAAAAAGCAAAAGUCUGUUUCGGAGAUUUUAAAAUCAUACUAGUCGUUCCCA
Molecule: long non-coding RNA, 1782 nt
Organism: Prosopis cineraria
Lineage: Eukaryota; Viridiplantae; Streptophyta; Magnoliopsida; Fabales; Fabaceae
Exons: 4
Source: RefSeq, a predicted model, not a curated record